This 256-nucleotide long non-coding RNA is filed under the name Eutrema salsugineum. RNAcentral's name for it is "long non-coding RNA (ESAL_LNC001369)". The record is from RNAcentral. Lineage: Eukaryota; Viridiplantae; Streptophyta; Magnoliopsida; Brassicales; Brassicaceae.
GGCUCCUUAGAUAUAUAGCAAACAAGCUUUGAAUGGUCCUGCUUGGAGUACGGUAAAGGCCGAGCUAGCUUCCGGAAGCUCUCUUGUGAGAGCGGGUCCUCCUUGGUACAACCCUCUUCAAAACCAUAUCUGGAUCAUGUCAAGGUACAACACUCAAACCACAAUAAAAAAUCACAUUAUGGUGUCACUUUGAAAUAUUACUUUCUUCCCUAUUUAUUUCAGAUGCAGAAAAUAGACAUCAAAUUUUAUAGAGUUU